Long non-coding RNA from Dermacentor albipictus, 1356 nucleotides. RefSeq lists it as uncharacterized. The record is from RefSeq and is a predicted model, not a curated record. Lineage: Eukaryota; Metazoa; Arthropoda; Arachnida; Ixodida; Ixodidae.
CUUUGCGACACUCCAAGAGGACGUGGAGGAUGGUCAGCCUCUCACCACAUCGACCACAGCUUGGCGGUUCAUUUCCAGUUUGGCGGCCUCGACACCUAAGUGAACUAUGACCGAAACGCUGGCAUUUGAAGCAACGCAGGGGAUUUGGAACAUAUGGGCGAACACGGAACUUGAUAUACCCGGCCUCGAUGGACUCGGGCAGAACACUUGUGCCAAAAACAUCCUGAUUGCCAAUUCAGCUCAUUUAGAACUGGUAUAUUUACUUUCUUGAACGCAUCGGUUUUGCCUUUACUCUACAUGUUGGUCACGUAUGCAUCUGAGCCAUUAUGCUAGGACCCCUUCCCAGCACCUGGCGAGCCUCGCUGCAGAAAGGCCCUGCUCGACAUUUAGCGCCACUGUCAGUGCACAUUGUGCGUCGUUUACUUCAGGGUAUGCACCUGCACAGCCAAGCCAGUGUUUCCUCCAUGGUGUUUGAGCCGUCCACAAGUACACAUAAUGAUUCCAGGACUACAAAAGAAGACAGAUCUACCGGCCCCUGCUCUAAAACAGCUGAGCUUACUUCUUUUGCAUGAAAAGUACAGCAACCACGUGCGCAUCUAUACCGAUGGAUCAACUAUGUCGUCCAGUUCUGGUGGUGCGGUGGUUAUACCAACGCUAGGAAUAACACUGCAAUUCAAGACGUCGCAUGUCAUGACCUCAACGGCGGCAGAGCUAACGGCUCUGCGUCAUGCACUGGAAUUCAUUGAUUCUGAAAGACCUAGAAAAUGGGCUGUGUUCUCUGACUCAAAACUAGCAUUACAGUGCACACAGACAGUUCUCCGAUGUGGAUGUCAUGGACAGUUGACAUACGAAAUCGUGAAACUUCACCAUCACGUCCAACAAAAAGGUCACGAGGUUGUUUUUCAGUGGGUACCUGGUCAUUGUGGAAUCAGUGGCAAUGAUUCCGCCAAAACGCUGCUCGCACAGCACAUCAAGAGGAGCGCAGCAUUCCAAUUCCGCUUUCGAGGACAGACACCGCAAGGCAGCUUCGACACCUGGCACACUGCGCCCCUGGCUCACUGGCACCUGGCUCACUGACCGAGUGGAACUCGCCAAACUUAAGACUUACAUGACUGCAUCGAUUAAACCCCUCACUGCAGCUCCGACUUCCACUCGGACUUCCUUGACGUGAAGCUACGCUUCUCUGUCGCCUUUAGUUAUGAGUUGCCUUCCCAAAAUCAUACUCUACAUUAAUUGGAGUGACCGACAGUGCAGCAUGCAAGGUCUGCGGCACCGAAGAAAAUGUUGACCACCUGCUGUGCCACUGUCCACGAUAUGCCCCUUCUCACAAUAAACGUUCAUUCCUCCUCCUCCUUU